RNAcentral lists this long non-coding RNA (450 nucleotides) under Panicum hallii. RNAcentral describes it as "long non-coding RNA (PHAL_LNC000966)". The record is from RNAcentral. Lineage: Eukaryota; Viridiplantae; Streptophyta; Magnoliopsida; Poales; Poaceae.
GUAAUGUCUUUGAAGCCCCUACUCUUCCCCUAUCUUGGCCCUGUGCUCUUCCAGAUGAUUGGUCCGUGGAAUGGGAUCCGUCCUCGGCCAACACCGAUGAUUCCGAGUGAUGUCGUGCCCGGGCUUAGCAUGGCAUCCGUCUUGACAAUGAGUUAGGAAUCGCCGAGUAUGUUUUCUGCUGCUAAGAACCUUAACUUUAACAGUUUGUAAUAAUCUCUCUGCGUUGAAACUUCGUACUGCUUUUAGAACUCUUGUAAUGUAAUUCCCUAUGAUGUAAAAUAUGAUGGUGACUGUAUCUCUGGACUCACCUUCGUGUGAGGUAACCUUAUUUGAUCCUGUGUAUCGGUGGUUUAUCGGGACGUUACCCGACAGGCCAAGGGAUUACACCGUUUGAAGCACGUUGGAGCCCUCGGGAGUGGACUCGCGUACUUGAGCCGGUAUAAUUCAGGU